GACCUCAAAUCAGGUAGGACUACCCGCUGAACUUAAGCAUAUCAAUAAGCGGAGGAAAAGAAACUAACAAGGAUUCCCCUAGUAACUGCGAGUGAAGCGGGAAAAGCUCAAAUUUAAAAUCUGGUGGUCUUUGGCCAUCCGAGUUGUAAUCUAGAGAAGUGUUAUCCGCGCUGGACCGUGUACAAGUCUCCUGGAAUGGAGCGUCAUAGAGGGUGAGAAUCCCGUCUUUGACACGGACUGCCAGGGCUUUGUGAUGCGCUCUCAAAGAGUCGAGUUGUUUGGGAAUGCAGCUCAAAAUGGGUGGUAAAUUCCAUCUAAAGCUAAAUAUUGGCGAGAGACCGAUAGCGAACAAGUACCGUGAGGGAAAGAUGAAAAGAACUUUGGAAAGAGAGUUAAACAGUACGUGAAAUUGCUGAAAGGGAAACGCUUGAAGUCAGUCGCGUUGUCUGGGGAUCAACCUUGCUUUUGCUGGGCGUACUUUCCAGAUGAUGGGUCAGCAUCAAUUUUGACCAUUGGAUAAAGUCUAGAGAAAUGUGGCAUCUUCGGAUGUGUUAUAAUCUCUAGUUGCAUACAAUGGUUGGGAUUGAGGAACUCAGCACGCCGAAUGGCCGGGUACAUUGUAUCACGUUCGUGCUUAGGAUGCUGGCAUAAUGGCUUUAAUCGACCCGUCUUGAAACACGGACCAAGGAGUCUAACAUGCCUGCGAGUAUUUGGGUGGAAAACCCGAGUGCGUAAUGAAAGUGAAAGUUGAGAUCCUUGUCAUGGGGAGCAUCGACGCCCGGACCAGACCUUUUGUGACGGAUCUGCGGUAGAGCAUGUAUGUUGGGACCCGAAAGAUGGUGAACUAUGCCUGAAUAGGGUGAAGCCAGAGGAAACUCUGGUGGAGGCUCGUAGCGAUUCUGACGUGCAAAUCGAUCGUCAAAUUUGGGUAUAGGGGCGAAAGACUAAUCGAACCAUCUAGUAGCUGGUUCCU
This 973-nucleotide ribosomal RNA is filed under the name Pholiota squarrosoides. RNAcentral's name for it is "LSU rRNA". It matches the Rfam family "Eukaryotic large subunit ribosomal RNA", at positions 1 to 959 of the family's 3401-position model. The record is from RNAcentral. Lineage: Eukaryota; Fungi; Basidiomycota; Agaricomycetes; Agaricales; Strophariaceae.